Molecule: long non-coding RNA, 354 nt
Organism: Passer domesticus (house sparrow)
Lineage: Eukaryota; Metazoa; Chordata; Aves; Passeriformes; Passeridae
Exons: 3
Source: RefSeq, a predicted model, not a curated record
GGUGACGUCACGGGAGCCGACCCCCAAGCUGUCGCCCACGCUGAGCUUCCCCCUGGGGCACCGCGCCCAGCUGGCCGCGCGCGCCGCCGCCGCGCAGAUCCGGGUGCGGCUCCGGGGGCUCCGCUCCGGGGGCUCCUGGCGCAGCUUUGGGGACGUUCGGGCGGCGCUCGAGGGGCCCGGGACCCCCAUCAGUGAGUACGUGGUGCGGCACUGGCAGGAGGACGCGUUUUUCGGGGAGCAGUUCCUGAGCGGGUGAACCCCGUCCUGCUGCGCCGCUGCCCCCGCCUGCCCCCCAACUUCCCGGUCACCGAGCCCAUGGUGGCCGCCAGCCUGGGCACGGGGACGUCCCUGCAG